UUGUGAUGAUGAAGAAAAG
Molecule: small RNA, 19 nt
Filed under: Arabidopsis thaliana (thale cress)
Lineage: Eukaryota; Viridiplantae; Streptophyta; Magnoliopsida; Brassicales; Brassicaceae
Description: ATSL012580
Source: RNAcentral